AUGUACACUGCAGAGCGAGGGAGGGGCGCUGAAGGUGGCGGGAGGCAGUGGCCAUGGUGGUUGCUGUGGCCUGGUCACUUCAGUUAUGUCAGGAACACCCUACAUGCUUGGAGGUAUGUGUUCUCGAGGCCUUCACUGGUUUGCCAUACUGAUGAAGUAUAUUUUAAUGGCUACCGUACAAAGUAUGAAGGAGAAGCAAUGGAGACUUCAUCCAUGAUAUGCAAAGAACAUGAAGGUGGACAAGCAACGUUCUUAGUCACUACCUUUCUCUGUGCGGAGGUACCACAUGUUUGCCACACCAUUUCCCAUGCAGCGACGGACACGCAUUUUACUCCAUCUUUCUUUUGUUUGUACUAAAGCUUUUCCUUCAUAAUCUGUUUUCAAAUCUGUUCAUGUUUUGAAUGUACAAUUGUAGAAUUUGAGUUAGGGGGAAAAAGAAAAAGAAGUAAAGGUCAUAUUGAUUUUCUUUUAAAAGGAGGAGAAAGAACUGGCCAAUUUCAUGAAAAAAAUGAGGAAAGUGGACAAGUAUGAGAUAAACACAUCUCCACUGGGAAUUUCUAGUCAUUUUCAUGUCAGCUGACUGUGUCAUUCUACCAAAUGGAACUCACUGAAAUCGUAUAGUUCUAUAAUUAUAAAAUCGAUUUGGGGAAAGAAAAAAAGUGCUUUAAUUUCUGUUGCUUCAAGGGAUUAUCCAUUCAAAACAUUUUUCUGUCCAUUAUAAAUUGUAUUGGCAACUAAGCUAUAAGAAAUAAAGAUAGUAAAUGUCUAACACAUAUUCCUUUUUCUUACUAGUGUCCUCUUUUCAUAGCAAACCCAUCCCAGUUCCUUCAACACUUUCUCCUGUGACUUACCUUUCAGGACGCUGAUUCAUAGACUGUCAGUACAAGUGACAUUGUGCCGAUUCUGAACAAUUAAAAAUGGUAGUUGUUGUAAGCCAAUUUGUUUUGGGGUGGUUUGUCACAUAGGAAAGCUAAGUAAUAGAACAAAGAAAAUUCAGAUUUUGUCUUGUUCUAAAUAAUCACAUCAUACUGCGGGUUGUGUGCUGCUUAUCUUCUGACACAAGCAUUUCUAAAGAUUUUUAAUGGUACAGUCUUCUUAGUAAAAUAAUUUUGUAUGUGCACCCACAGACACAUAUCUACUAAAAUUAUAUAUAUGUACUGCUGCCAAUUACAUAUAUUAAAUAUCAGUGAAGCCUGACUUCUUUUUUUAAAAAAAAUAAAUAUAGUGGUUGUAGUAACUUUUUCCUCAUUCCGGUGGACCCUCAUGUGCCUUCCGGAUCAUAGUCUCUCCACUCAGGAUAACUGCUCUAAAACUCUCAAAUCUUUCCCAUAAUUAGCUUCAAAGCAUUAUUUCACCUAUUCUGAAUUUGUGAAAUUCAUUUUUUAAACUAAACUCAGAGCUUGAUUUAUUAUAGUUACUGAUUAUUGCAGAAUCCUUUAGGGAAUUAUACCUUGAUCUUUUCUAUUAACUGACUUUAAAUAAACUCCCUUUGGUAAAAACUGCCAUUCAUUUUUCUAGCAAGUGUACCGAAAGUAUAUACAGGUUUGUGGAGUGUCCUGCAUCACCAGUGUCUCUUGAUAUAUACGCACACACAAAAGACAGUGUGUGUCUGUGUAUAUAUACACACACACUAUUUUAACAAAAAGUAAUUAAAGAGAAUAAGUAUGCCUGUUCAAUGUCAAAAGAUUCACAGGGCCUCAAUAAUAGUGGCACUUUUAGCAGCUGUUUGUUGAAAAUCUAUAUAAUGACAAAAAGCUAUAAAUUCAGUAUUGAUUUUGAACAAAUAUGUUUAUUAAUUGCAGUGGCAUCUGAUUUUGAAUAGUAUUUGCAAACAAAUGUGGAAGACUCAUUUUUCAUGGAUGAACACUGAUUAGGGCUCGUAAUGGGGUCUUGGAGCCUUGUUUAACUUGAUAGUUAGAAAGCCACUGCUAUCACGAAUACAGAAGAUGCAAACCCCAUUCUUAUGUGCAUUAGCCAUGUGACCUGAGCAGGCUCUUAGUCUUGUCUCUGCGUCUUGGCAUUACUGCCGUAGUAAGUCACAAUCAUCCCAGUGGUGGCUUCCAUUUAUUGAGCUGCCACCAGGAAAGAGCUUUGCCCUUUACAACCCAGUGAACUUCACUCUUCAUAUAGAAGUCUCUUUUAACCAUCACAACUAUUGAGGUAGGAAAACAUCAUUUUCCCCAUUUUACAUUUUGGAAAAUGAGACUUAGAGAAAUUACAAAGUUUGCUCAAGUUAUAAGCUAAAUAAAGACAGAGCUGGGAUUUGAACUCUGGACCUGUGCGGUUCAGUUAAAUAGCCAUGAGCUACAUGUGGCUACUAAAAUUAAAAUUAAACACCAUAUUUUGAGCACUCGGUAGCCAUAUGCAGCUAAUAUGUUGCACAGCACAAAAAUAUCAUUACUGUAAGUUCCCCUGGACAGUCCUGAACUCUGCUGACCAACUGCAAAGCGUGUACUUCACUGGGUUUAAUUCUUGCUCACCCAUUCAUGCCUUUACUUGUUCAUUCAUUCAACAGAUACUUACUGAAUACCAACUCUGUGCCUGUCACCCCAUGGGACACUGGAGAAUUAUCUCACUGCAUUGUGGUCAAGAGCAAAUGAAAUGACAUGAAACAGUGUUUUAAGCUCUCAGGUUCUAGGUAAAAGUGAAAUACGUUUAUGCUGUAGUGGCUGGAGUGUAGGGAAAUGCUGCUUCAUUGCGAGCAGGGCCUGUGUUACCCUUCCUGCAGUCCUCUCUCAUCUCUCCGCCACCCCUGCCCACAUUUAGCGGGGUCCAGUGCCCAUCAGAAGUGAAUGCAAAGCUGUGAAUGACAGUGCACGUGGGUAGGUUUUUGCCUGCUCCCCUGAAUCCUUUUUCCUAAGCGUGAGGAGUUCCGCAGGCAGAUAAUGUGGGCCACAUGAACCAUGGCAGCCAGGGCAUGAAGUCCUCCCUCCACCAGUCAGAUGGUUCUGUUUGGGACUUUGGUACAGAUGACACGAAGAAGCUGAGGCAGCUUUAAUUAUUUCAGUGACUGCAGCACUGAUGUCCUGUUUCUAUGUGGUGGUCACUUUACUGGAAUUGUGACAGGUCAUCUGGAAACCAACUUUAUUUUUGCCCACUCCCUUAAGCUUCCUCCCUGGCAGUGUUUCUGAGUGACUUUCCCUCACUUUGUCACAACAAAGUGCUAUGGUUACUGAGUUGCAAAACACAGUCCCAGUUUAUUAAUCACGCUUUUAUAUUUAGGCAAAGGUAAAAAUUCUCCCACUCCCAGCCAGGGCUGUGAAGAGGGUGAGCUGCCUUCUCCCUCUCACCAUCACGUUCUCCCCACUGGCUACCUGCUAUUUUGGUUCCCUUUAGGGUUGGGCCAUGUGGAAAGAUAAGAGGAAUACAACAUUUCUUAACAGACUGGUUACGGUCAUAAACUGGCUUUUGCUUUUUGGGUCCAGCCAGUAUCUAAAGGUGGGCAUUUUUAUGGGUUCAUUCGCAGCUCUCCUGCAAACCCUUCUGACUCCCUCUCCCUUAGCAUGAUGGGACUCCACUAAUCCCUUGUAAGGUCCUCUUCAAGGACUGCCCCCCAGUCUUAGCCUCUCAUAUCUUUAAUGUGCUCAGUGUUCCCAGUUCUGGGUCACUUGCUUUGACCUUUCGGCCUGGUGGUCUACCGUACAUUUCAUUCUGACAUCUAAAACCGUUAUAGUCUGGUGCCUCAGUUGACACUUCUGGUCUGACUCAGAGGGAGCCAGGGCCAAUGGGUAAGAAGGCAAUUCAUCAGAUGGUUCUGUAGUUAUUGCUCCCUAGCCCC
This is a long non-coding RNA of Callithrix jacchus (white-tufted-ear marmoset), 3778 nucleotides long. The record is from Ensembl. Lineage: Eukaryota; Metazoa; Chordata; Mammalia; Primates; Cebidae.